GGGACCUCAGAUCAGGCAAGACCACCCGCUGAGUUUAAGCAUAUCACUAAGCGGAGGAAAAGAAACUAACAAGGAUUCCCU
RNAcentral lists this ribosomal RNA (81 nucleotides) under Microlejeunea filicuspis. RNAcentral describes it as "Harpalejeunea filicuspis partial 26S ribosomal RNA". It matches the Rfam family "Eukaryotic large subunit ribosomal RNA", at positions 1 to 80 of the family's 3401-position model. Lineage: Eukaryota; Viridiplantae; Streptophyta; Jungermanniopsida; Porellales; Lejeuneaceae. The record is from RNAcentral.